This is a long non-coding RNA of Balaenoptera musculus (blue whale), 1316 nucleotides long. RefSeq lists it as uncharacterized. The transcript is spliced from 4 exons. The record is from RefSeq and is a predicted model, not a curated record. NCBI's taxonomy places the organism in Eukaryota, Metazoa, Chordata, Mammalia, Artiodactyla, Balaenopteridae.
GACUGAAUUUGCGCAUUUUUCUCCAGAAUGUCCUUCUAGCCUUACUGAUUUGCAAAAGCUCAUUGCAUACUGAGAAGAUAAACCCUUUGUGGCAGGACCCUUUCUGUCUCCCCUGGUGGCUGCAGCCCCACGCCAGCCUGGGUUCUGCUGGUCCCACAGUCAUGGAAGAAGGCAGUGAAGAGCUUGGUCCCUUGUAGGAGGGAACGCGUCAGGUCUCUGAAGCCUAAAUCAUGGGAAAGAACGGAGGGUUUGGAGACAGGAGACUUUGUUUGGCAUCGGGCCCUGGUCCUUCCAGUCUUGUGACCUUGGGCCAGUCACCUGCCCCCUGCAAACUGAAGUGUUGUCACCCGAGAGAGGGGAGCCAGAGCCAGCACAGAGCCCCACGGGUCGGCCAAACAGCAUCCUGUGACAGGUGCCCCUCGACCCCCCGGUGCCACGUGUGGGCUGAAACGAGAAUGCAGUCAGAGGAACCUGAUUGUCAUUGACAGGAGAAAAAGAUUUGUCUUCUGCUGCAGUUUGCAAAAACUUUGCUGUGCUGUGUCUGCAAAGGGAAAAAAAAAAACGACCCUCUUGGUCUCACCGCAGGUUUGGCAUGAACAGGUAUGGUGUCUGAAGGAGGUCAUUCCAGUUUAAACGGUACAGACAGUGCUGCUGGGUUCUGACCACAAAAAACGUAUUGUUAAAAAGGAAUUUUAAACGAGGGGUGAUUGUGGGUCCCCUGAAACCUCUCUGAAUCAGAGGUGGGCUUGGGAGGACACAGGACACAGCAGAACCAGAUGCAGAAAGGAGUGACACAGGGGUCUCCAGGCUUGUGCGUGUGCGUGUGUGUGUUUUACACCGUAAAUCUCCAAAUGAAAUACUGAUUAACAAUUGUGGGGUAAGCCUGUGAUCAAACAGCACAAAGAUUCUUUAAAGAAGUCCACUUUUAAGGCAUCAGAGAAGUUAAUGUGGCAAACAUUUUAAUUAAAACAUCAGAAGUAAAUUUUAUUUUAAACUUUAGGCCUCUGAAUUUUUCCAGUAAACACAGUUCAGCUAUGUGGCAAAGUCAUGGGUGGCAGCUAAAAUGACUUUUUACAUUCUACAAAAAAAAUAAAACAAAAGGAGGACACAGCCCCAAACGGGGUCGCCUCUUCGUGGCCGCUCCACAUGCACGGAAUCUACGAGGGUUUGUCACAGCGGGUGGCACCGUUUUGUUGUGACUAUACAACGAACUUUUUUUUUCUUCAAAAGUAUUUGUUCAGAUAACUUAAAAAUAAUAUAAAAAUAAACAAUGAAUUUGACUUUUCCUCAAAAAAAAAAAAAAAAAAAGACGGAAA